This 45-nucleotide non-coding RNA is filed under the name Schistosoma margrebowiei. Lineage: Eukaryota; Metazoa; Platyhelminthes; Trematoda; Strigeidida; Schistosomatidae. The record is from RNAcentral.
AUUCAGUCGACGAGUCCUAAACAGGAGGAAACACAUGUUGUGGAU